UGAUGAUAAUCAUGAUGAUGAUGAUGAUGAUCAUCAUCAUCAACAACAACA
This 51-nucleotide microRNA precursor is filed under the name Guillardia theta CCMP2712. RNAcentral describes it as "microRNA mir-598". The record is from RNAcentral. Lineage: Eukaryota; Cryptophyceae; Pyrenomonadales; Geminigeraceae.